Molecule: ribosomal RNA, 1515 nt
Filed under: Escherichia coli
Lineage: Bacteria; Pseudomonadati; Pseudomonadota; Gammaproteobacteria; Enterobacterales; Enterobacteriaceae
Description: partial 23S ribosomal RNA
Rfam family: Bacterial large subunit ribosomal RNA
Source: RNAcentral
GACAGCCCCGUACACAAAAAUGCACAUGCUGUGAGCUCGAUGAGUAGGGCGGGACACGUGGUAUCCUGUCUGAAUAUGGGGGGACCAUCCUCCAAGGCUAAAUACUCCUGACUGACCGAUAGUGAACCAGUACCGUGAGGGAAAGGCGAAAAGAACCCCGGCGAGGGGAGUGAAAAAGAACCUGAAACCGUGUACGUACAAGCAGUGGGAGCACGCUUAGGCGUGUGACUGCGUACCUUUUGUAUAAUGGGUCAGCGACUUAUAUUCUGUAGCAAGGUUAACCGAAUAGGGGAGCCGAAGGGAAACCGAGUCUUAACUGGGCGUUAAGUUGCAGGGUAUAGACCCGAAACCCGGUGAUCUAGCCAUGGGCAGGUUGAAGGUUGGGUAACACUAACUGGAGGACCGAACCGACUAAUGUUGAAAAAUUAGCGGAUGACUUGUGGCUGGGGGUGAAAGGCCAAUCAAACCGGGAGAUAGCUGGUUCUCCCCGAAAGCUAUUUAGGUAGCGCCUCGUGAAUUCAUCUCCGGGGGUAGAGCACUGUUUCGGCAAGGGGGUCAUCCCGACUUACCAACCCGAUGCAAACUGCGAAUACCGGAGAAUGUUAUCACGGGAGACACACGGCGGGUGCUAACGUCCGUCGUGAAGAGGGAAACAACCCAGACCGCCAGCUAAGGUCCCAAAGUCAUGGUUAAGUGGGAAACGAUGUGGGAAGGCCCAGACAGCCAGGAUGUUGGCUUAGAAGCAGCCAUCAUUUAAAGAAAGCGUAAUAGCUCACUGGUCGAGUCGGCCUGCGCGGAAGAUGUAACGGGGCUAAACCAUGCACCGAAGCUGCGGCAGCGACGCUUAUGCGUUGUUGGGUAGGGGAGCGUUCUGUAAGCCUGUGAAGGUGUACUGUGAGGUAUGCUGGAGGUAUCAGAAGUGCGAAUGCUGACAUAAGUAACGAUAAAGCGGGUGAAAAGCCCGCUCGCCGGAAGACCAAGGGUUCCUGUCCAACGUUAAUCGGGGCAGGGUGAGUCGACCCCUAAGGCGAGGCCGAAAGGCGUAGUCGAUGGGAAACAGGUUAAUAUUCCUGUACUUGGUGUUACUGCGAAGGGGGGACGGAGAAGGCUAUGUUGGCCGGGCGACGGUUGUCCCGGUUUAAGCGUGUAGGCUGGUUUUCCAGGCAAAUCCGGAAAAUCAAGGCUGAGGCGUGAUGACGAGGCACUACGGUGCUGAAGCAACAAAUGCCCUGCUUCCAGGAAAAGCCUCUAAGCAUCAGGUAACAUCAAAUCGUACCCCAAACCGACACAGGUGGUCAGGUAGAGAAUACCAAGGCGCUUGAGAGAACUCGGGUGAAGGAACUAGGCAAAAUGGUGCCGUAACUUCGGGAGAAGGCACGCUGAUAUGUAGGUGAAGUCCCUCGCGGAUGGAGCUGAAAUCAGUCGAAGAUACCAGCUGGCUGCAACUGUUUAUUAAAAACACAGCACUGUGCAAACACGAAAGUGGACGUAUACGGUGUGACGCCUGCCCGGUGC